CAAAGGAUUGUCAAGAUCAACGCGCUUGUCCCAAACUAGACCACAUGGAGAGGGUCUCAUUAAACUUUGGUGACUUCCGUACUGCUAGUAACUCUCUGUGCUGCAACACCACAGGAUGUAAUAAUGAAACCUUCCCUGCCCCCAGUGAAAAACCAAACGGACUACAUUGCUUCACCUGUAAAAGUGAGAACGACACUGUGUGCAACCAAAAAGUUAUAGAAUGUGUUGGCAUUGAAAACCGCUGCUUCAUCGAAACCGAGGGUAUAAAUUCCACUCUUAGGGGAUGCGUGUCCAGUAAUUACUGUGACAGACUAUCUGCCAACUCUACCUGUUGUGAUAAAAGUUGGUGCAACAGAGCUAGUGGUAUGGGGGGCCUGUCUCUCUCCCUCCUGCUGGCUCUUCCAGUCAUACUGCUGUUCUAGGUUUUAAAAGAGUGACAGAGUUAGGGUUGAGUACAUGACAACACCAGACAUAUUUCAUAUAUCUAGUUUCUUUUUUCUUUCUACUAGGUGUUCGUAAAACACUAUGUGCAGUAAUGGUACACCUGUCGUAUUAUAUCCGUUUUUAUAAAUCAGUUUGAUGGACUAUGGAUCAUGAUUACACUAGCUGACUGUGGUUUGUAACUUUUUGACAACAUUUGAAUGUAAAUAUGAUGAUUGUUUUGUUUCACAUGGCUCUCUGUGAAAUCUCAAUUAAACAUAUUUACUUCC
This is a long non-coding RNA of Hypomesus transpacificus, 710 nucleotides long. RefSeq lists it as uncharacterized. The record is from RefSeq and is a predicted model, not a curated record. Lineage: Eukaryota; Metazoa; Chordata; Actinopteri; Osmeriformes; Osmeridae. The transcript is spliced from 3 exons.